UGGGGAAUAUUGCACAAUGGGGGAAACCCUGAUGCAGCGACGCCGCGUGAGCGAAGAAGUAUUUCGGUAUGUAAAGCUCUAUCAGCAGGGAAGAAAAUGACGGUACCUGACUAAGAAGCUCCGGCUAAAUACGUGCCAGCAGCCGCGGUAAUACGUAUGGAGCAAGCGUUAUCCGGAUUUACUGGGUGUAAAGGGAGCGUAGGCGGUACGGCAAGUCAGAAGUGAAAUGCCGGGGCUCAACCCCGGAACUGCUUUUGAAACUGUCGAACUAGAUUGCAGGAGAGGUAAGUGGAAUUCCUAGUGUAGCGGUGAAAUGCGUAGAUAUUAGGAGGAACACCAGUGGCGAAGGCGGCUUACUGGACUGUAAAUGACGCUGAGGCUCGAAAGCGUGGGGAGCAAACAGGAUUAGAUACCCUGGUAGU
This 422-nucleotide ribosomal RNA is filed under the name uncultured Lachnospiraceae bacterium. RNAcentral describes it as "bacterial SSU rRNA". It matches the Rfam family "Bacterial small subunit ribosomal RNA", at positions 355 to 794 of the family's 1533-position model. Lineage: Bacteria; Bacillati; Bacillota; Clostridia; Lachnospirales; Lachnospiraceae. The record is from RNAcentral.